CCUACGGGUGGCAGCAGUGGGGAAUAUUGCACAAUGGGGGCAACCCUGAUGCAGCGACGCCGCGUGAGCGAUGAAGUAUUUCGGUAUGUAAAGCUCUAUCAGCAGGGAAGAAAAUGACGGUACCUGACUAAGAAGCCCCGGCUAACUACGUGCCAGCAGCCGCGGUAAUACGUAGGGAGCAAGCGUUAUCCGGAUUUACUGGGUGUAAAGGGAGCGUAGCCGGCUGUGCAAGCCAGAGGUGAAAGCCCGGGGCUCAACCACGGAACUGCAUUUGGAACUGUGUGGCUGGAGUGUCGGAGAGGCAGGCGGAAUUCCUAGUGUAGCGGUGAAAUGCGUAGAUAUUAGGAGGAACACCAGUGGCGAAGGCGGCCUGCUGGACGAUGACUGACGUUGAGGCUCGAAAGCGUGGGGAGCAAACAGGAUUAGAUACCCGGGUAGUC
This 440-nucleotide ribosomal RNA is filed under the name uncultured bacterium. Its description in RNAcentral is "partial 16S ribosomal RNA". It matches the Rfam family "Bacterial small subunit ribosomal RNA", at positions 338 to 795 of the family's 1533-position model. The record is from RNAcentral.